This 401-nucleotide ribosomal RNA is filed under the name Pseudapanteles dignus. RNAcentral's name for it is "partial 16S large subunit ribosomal RNA". The record is from RNAcentral. Lineage: Eukaryota; Metazoa; Arthropoda; Insecta; Hymenoptera; Braconidae.
GUUUUAUUGAAAAUAAUUUUAAGUCAGAUCUGCUCAAUGAUAUAUUUUAAAUAGCUGCAGUAUUUUUAACUGUACAAAGGUAGCAUAAUAAAUAGUUUUUUAAUUGAAAACUGGAAUGAAAGAUUAAAUGAAAUAUAAACUGUUUUAAAUUUAUUAAUUGAAUUUUUUAUUUAAAUAAAAAAAUUUAAAUGAAUUUUAAAGACGAGAAGACCCUAAAGAAUUUUUAUAAAAAUUUUAUUAAAAUAAAUUUUUUAUUUUAAUUGGGGUAAUUUUAAAAUUUAUUAAACUUUUAAUUAAAUUAAACAAAGAUUUUUGUAUAAAUAAAUUUUAUUAAAAAAUUAAAAUAAAUUACCUUAGGGAUAACAGCAUAAUUUUAUUUUUAAGUUCAAAUUUUUAAUUAA